UUCAUCAACAGAUGGCGCAUCAAUGUCCGUUUGUGACUUAAUACAAUAUUCUAAAGGAAAACUCUCCAAGAGAGACCAUAACCUCACUUGUUGUUAUGACACUUUUGCAGUGCAGCGUAAAAUAUACGUGUAUAAAUAGUACCUUCAAUAAAUUGUGUAUUCUGUCUAAAUAGCAACUGCAGUGCACAGUGACAAAAGUAUCAGAAAAAUAACCAAGUAAUGUCAUUGGGGCAUUAUCAAACAUAAGUAUUCAUGAUAUAUGCAACAUUACGGUAAAAUUAACAACAGACAGUUAUCAAUAUUAAUAUAUAAAAGCAUAAGUUUCUGCAAUAAUUGUUAUUAUUAUUAAGGGAGAGGUUCCCUCAUAUUCUCAUAUGAUUUCAUAUAUUCUACGAGGAACAACAAUGUAUAGAGAGAAUCUCUCAAGGCUAUCAUAUGAAAACUUCAAUAUCAGCCACAAAGAAGCACUCGCAACCAUAAAAGAAUGUCACGCAGACCUACACAUAUCAUGACGGCCAAAAUGAAUGAAAAGAAUACAGUAACGCAAGUAUCAGUAAGAUACCCAAGUAAUGUCAUUGGGACAUUAUCAAACAUAAGUAUUCAUGAUAUAUGCAAAUUGCGGAACAACAAUGUAUGAAGAGAAUCUCCCAAGGCUACCAUAAUAUGAAAAUAUGAAAAACUUCAACAUCAGUCAAAGAGGCACACGCAACCAUAAAGAAUGUCACGCAGACCUACACAUAUCAUGACGCAAGAGUUUAUAGUCUCUCUAAUUUAACAGGAAUGAGUAAAGUUAUAGGUUGCCAUUAUCAAUCUUACAAUAUCACAUAAGGCCAAAAUGAAUGAGAAAGUCAUAAAGUUCAAAGUUCAUAAUUCAACUGACAAGGCAACCGCACAACUUCAGAGCAGAAAAUAAAUGCCUCGAUGAUGAAGACUCCACAUAAUACUCAUAAUCUGUGAUCUAAUCCCAAAGGACACAGCAUGUUCCAUACAUACUGGGCAUCAAAACCUCUGAGACAAGAUGCAUCAAUGGAGCCAUUAUUCACCCUCAGAUGACAAUAUACACAAGCAGAUCCAAUUGUCAUAUGUGUCAAUUAUUAAUUAUUGUCUACUCACUUAGUGAAAUUUCAACAUAUAUCAUAUGAUAGUAUAUUCCACUAAUUAUUCAUAAACGACUAGCAAAUUCAA
This is a non-coding RNA of Nylanderia fulva, 1185 nucleotides long. The record is from RefSeq and is a predicted model, not a curated record. NCBI's taxonomy places the organism in Eukaryota, Metazoa, Arthropoda, Insecta, Hymenoptera, Formicidae.